AUCGUUAAAGGCAAGAAAAACAAAAAGAAAUUAUCGUUAUUGUUAAUUCAUAAGAUGUGGAUAUACAUGGGGAAAUAUAUUUUUACGAUUAAAUGCGAAGAUAUUAAUUAAUUACUUUGAUAAAAGUUCGUAGCGGGCAUUGCCACUCCUUCCUAGUUUUGUCCUACGUUUUGUCUUUGCAUAUUAUAUUUCGUUUUACGGUGGUAUGUUCAGUGGCGGAAAGUCACCUAUUUUGGGCAAAGUCUCCUGAAUUUCUUACUCCCCUCAUUUAAACUCAAAUUUGAAUUGUUUAAUUAAUUAAUUAAUUUCGGGAUAAAAUUUCCGACAAAUCGUCUAAAUUUUCGUAAAGGCAGGGGCCGCGGAACCGGAUGGCAAUGGAGGCAUGUGCCUCCACUUUUUUAAAAGUAAAAAAGUGCCCUUUUUUCUGUGCUAAAGUGUCCCAUUUAAAAGAACGAAAAAAGUAUUCUUGAAUAAACGCCCUGGAAAGAAGUGCCCUUUUUGCAGUAGUAAAGACUCGGUAAAGGCCGUUUCCGACGUGAUAUAUAGGGACACCAUAUUUUCAAACAUUUUCUUUCGGCUCGUGAACGACAUAAAAUCGAUUGAUUUUAGUCAUAUACAAAAGUGCCCCUUUUGGCCAAUGCCCCUCCACUUUCGAAAUGCUUCCGCGGCCUCUGCGUAAAGGUGGCGGGGCAAUUGCCCCCCCCCCCCC
Paramuricea clavata is the source of this 709-nucleotide non-coding RNA. NCBI's taxonomy places the organism in Eukaryota, Metazoa, Cnidaria, Anthozoa, Malacalcyonacea, Plexauridae. The record is from the annotation of a GenBank genome assembly.